Molecule: transfer RNA, 71 nt
Filed under: Amblygaster sirm (spotted sardinella)
Lineage: Eukaryota; Metazoa; Chordata; Actinopteri; Clupeiformes; Clupeidae
Description: tRNA-Tyr
Rfam family: tRNA
About the family: Transfer RNA (tRNA) molecules are approximately 80 nucleotides in length. Their secondary structure includes four short double-helical elements and three loops (D, anti-codon, and T loops).
Source: RNAcentral
GGUAGGUUGGCUGAAGGUUUAGGCGGCGGAUUGUAGCUCCGAAUAAAGAGGUUAGACUCCUUUCCCUACCA